Non-coding RNA from Acanthosepion pharaonis, 114 nucleotides. Lineage: Eukaryota; Metazoa; Mollusca; Cephalopoda; Sepiida; Sepiidae. The record is from the annotation of a GenBank genome assembly.
UUACGGCCACAUCACAUUGAAAUACUGGUUCUCGUCUGAUCACGGAAGUUAAACAACGUGGAGUUUGGUCAAUACUUAGAUGGGUGACCGUUUAGGAAUACCAAGAGUUGUAAG